Molecule: ribosomal RNA, 235 nt
Filed under: uncultured bacterium
Lineage: Bacteria
Description: partial 16S ribosomal RNA
Rfam family: Bacterial small subunit ribosomal RNA
Source: RNAcentral
CGGACGGGUGAGUAACGCGUGGGUAACCUGCCUCACACUGGGGGAUAACAGUUAGAAAUAGCUGCUAAUACCGCAUAAGCGCACGGUUCCGCAUGGAACAGUGUGAAAAACUCCGGUGGUGUGAGAUGGACCCGCGUCUGAUUAGCCAGUUGGCGGGGUAACGGCCCACCAAAGCGACGAUCAGUAGCCGACCUGAGAGGGUGACCGGCCACAUUGGGACUGAGACACGGCCCAA